Long non-coding RNA from Gasterosteus aculeatus aculeatus (three-spined stickleback), 352 nucleotides. The record is from Ensembl. Lineage: Eukaryota; Metazoa; Chordata; Actinopteri; Perciformes; Gasterosteidae.
GGCUGACAUAGAGACAUUUUCUUUAUGAGUCACCACUUAAGCUGGCCUGCACGUCUUUGGCCAGUGGGAAGAAGCCAGAGGAGGCGGAGAAAAAAACACCCUCGUGCUGUGAGGCGACAGUGCCAAACACCACACCACUGUGCCGCCCGUGCAGACGUCCGGUGUGGUAGGGCAGCCGCCUGUUGAAUCCGGUUUUCCUUUGGGUUAAAUGCCCUGGACAACACCCACCAUUUACACUUUACCCUCAUGCACAUCCUACACUACUGAUAAUACUGACAUUUGCAUCCCAUCUGGAAUGGUUAUGGUUUUUCGUUGUUUUGUGUGUUAAAUAAAGAAUGUUACACCUCGGAAA